UUUUUUCAGAGGCUCAAAGUCGUAAUUCCAGACAAGGAAAUAUGCCGUAAUUAAACUAAAUUCCCCUCCCUAUUCGCCUCCUUCACCGUCUAAAUUGUCGGCAGGCCACACGUCCAUGAAGUUCAACGGUAGAGGCAUUGGAUCCAAAAACGAGGCCAGGCCUGAAACAAAAGGUGAUCAAUCACACACGCACGCUACAAACAAGAUCGACGACUUGGAGGAGAUAUAUGCCCGUCCAACAAGCAUCGCAUCGUAUCCCCCACCCCGGUUCCUGGCCGAACAGAUCAAAUCCGUCAAUCGAUCAACAGUGCGGGCUGUCUGGUCAGGGCGCUCACCUAGUCCGUCCCAUCCAUGCAACGGCCCAAGCCAACGUCGUAG
Molecule: long non-coding RNA, 378 nt
Filed under: Hordeum vulgare
Lineage: Eukaryota; Viridiplantae; Streptophyta; Magnoliopsida; Poales; Poaceae
Description: long non-coding RNA (HVUL_LNC013831)
Source: RNAcentral